This 652-nucleotide ribosomal RNA is filed under the name uncultured archaeon. RNAcentral's name for it is "bacterial SSU rRNA". It matches the Rfam family "Archaeal small subunit ribosomal RNA", at positions 207 to 859 of the family's 1478-position model. The record is from RNAcentral.
GGAUGGGUCUGCGGCCGAUUAGGUAGUUGGUUAGGUAAUGGCUUACCAAGCCGUUGAUCGGUACGGGUUGUGAGAGCAAGAGCCCGGAGAUGGAACCUGAGACAAGGUUCCAGGCCCUACGGGGUGCAGCAGGCGCGAAACCUCCGCAAUGUGAGAAAUCGCGACGGGGGGAUCCCAAGUGCCAUUCUUAACGGGAUGGCUUUUCAUUAGUGUAAAGAGCUUUUGGAAUAAGAGCUGGGCAAGACCGGUGCCAGCCGCCGCGGUAACACCGGCAGCUCUAGUGGUAGCAAUUUUUAUUGGGCCUAAAGCGUCCGUAGCCGGUUUAAUAAGUCUCUGGUGAAAUCCUGCAGCUUAACUGUGGGAAUUGCUGGAGAUACUAUUAGACUUGAGACCGGGAGAGGUUAGAGGUACUCCCAGGGUAGAGGUGAAAUUCUGUAAUCCUGGGAGGACCGCCUGUUGCGAAGGCGUCUAACUGGAACGGUUCUGACGGUGAGGGACGAAAGUUAGGGGCGCGAACCGGAUUAGAUACCCGGGUAGUCCUAACUGUAAACGAUGCGGACUUGGUGUUGGGGUGGCUUUGAGCUGCUUCAGUGCCGAAGGGAAGCUGUUAAGUCCGCUGCCUGGGAAGUACGGUCGCAAGACUGAAACUUAA